Molecule: ribosomal RNA, 500 nt
Filed under: uncultured bacterium
Lineage: Bacteria
Description: partial 16S ribosomal RNA
Rfam family: Bacterial small subunit ribosomal RNA
Source: RNAcentral
AUUGAACGCUGGCGGAAUGCUUUACACAUGCAAGUCGAACGGCAGCACGGACUUCGGUCUGGCGGCGAGUGGCGAACGGGUGAGUAAUGUAUCGGAACGUGCCCAGUCGUGGGGGAUAACGUAGUGAAAAUUACGCUAAUACCGCAUACGAUCUAUGGAUGAAAGCGGGGGAUCGCAAGACCUCGCGCGAUUGGAGCGGCCGAUAUCAGAUUAGGCAGUUGGUGGGGUAAAGGCCCACCAAGCCAACGAACUGUAGCUGGUCUGAGAGGACGACCAGCCACACUGGAACUGAGACACGGUCCAGACUCCUACGGGAGGCAGCAGUGGGGAAUUUUGGACAACGGACGCAAGUCUGAUCCAGCAAUGCCGCGUGCAGGACGAAGGCCUUCGGGUUGUAAACUGCUUUUGUACGGAACGAAACGGUGAGCUCUAAUACAGUUUGCUAAUGACGGUACCGUAAGAAUAAGCACCGGCUAACUACGUGCCAGCCGCCGCGGUAA